GCGUCAUCGUGUUUAUUCAUGGAUGUGCCUCAUCCAGUAGAGGAUAUGAGUUGGUUGUAUUAUAUAAUGACGUAUAUACCUAAUGACGAUAUAACCGGAUAUGAUGUCAUCAAAUUAUAUGUCAGUGACCAUAUGUCAGUUCGUUCUGAUGUUGUGACCAUCAAGAUGGCCAUAUUGAAUAUGCCUUGUAUAAAUGGCGGAACAUGUCAAUCUAAAUAUAUUGAUGGAACCAGAUACAAAUGCCAAGAUGUCUUGAGAGCUGAUAAUUUCUAUGAUUAUUAUUCGUGUAAUUGUACCAAUGGUUGGUCCGGUGUAAAUUGUCAGGAGGAUGUUAACGAAUGUCAAAGUUCACCUUGUAUCUGGCCAUAUGUUUGUUUUGAUUUUAUAAAUGAAUACCAGUGCGCAUGUCCAGUCGACAAUCCCAACUGUGACUCUUUACUUGGCUGGAUGAUCGCGUUGAUUGUUGUUGCUGUUGUCAUGGUUAUAACCCUGUCGUUCCUGCUGUUUUAUUGCUUGUCGUUGAGACGAGGACGAGGAAGAUGGCCCCUUGUAUUCAACAGAUUUUACUCAUCAACACGAACUGGUUGCAAUAGCAAAAUUAUACCGUUUAAUCCAACCGAUAUUGAACCUGAGUGUGAAGUCAACUGUAGCACAAUUUAAAUCUGGAACAACAGGACUUAUACAGAACAAACGUUAGACCAAAUAAAAACAAAAUAUCUCUGUUUACGGUUACUUGGCCACAAAACGUUGGGUCGACCGGUCGGACAGUUUAGGGUCUGUGAUUUGGUUCGUGUCGAGCCACCGUAAACACAGGCUAUUGUUUUAUCUUUUGUUGGGUAGAGG
Molecule: long non-coding RNA, 843 nt
Organism: Patella vulgata (common limpet)
Lineage: Eukaryota; Metazoa; Mollusca; Gastropoda; Patellidae
Exons: 4
Source: RefSeq, a predicted model, not a curated record